Molecule: ribosomal RNA, 468 nt
Filed under: uncultured bacterium
Lineage: Bacteria
Description: partial 16S ribosomal RNA
Rfam family: Bacterial small subunit ribosomal RNA
Source: RNAcentral
GACGAACGCUGGCGGCGUGCUUAACACAUGCAAGUCGAACGGAAAGGCCCUGCUCUUGUGGGGUUCUCGUGUGGCGAACGGGGGAGUAACACGUGAGUAACCUGCCCUUGACUUUGGGAUAAUUUCAGGAAAAUGGGGCUAAUACCGGAUAGGAGCUCCUGCUGCAUGGUGGGGGUUGGAAAGUUUCGGCGGUUGGGGAUGGACUCGCGGCUUAUCAGCUUGUUGGUGGGGUAGUGGCUUACCAAGUCUUUGACGGGUAGCCGGCCUGAGAGGUUGACCGGCCUCAUUGGGACUGAGGUACGGCCCAGACUCCUACGGGAGGCAGCAGUGGGGAAUAUUGCGCAGUGGGCGGAAGCCUGAUGCAGCAACGCCGCGUGCGUGAUGACGGCUUUCGGGUUGUAAACCGCUUUCGCCUGUGACGAAGCGUGAGUGACGGUAAUGGGUAAAGAAGCACCGGCUAACUACGUG